GUAGGGGGCAAGCGUUGUUCGGAAUUACUGGGCGUAAAGGGCGCGUAGGCGGCACGGCAAGUCAGGAGUGAAAGCCCUGGGCUCAACCCGGGAACUGCUUUUGAAACUGCCGAGCUAGAGUGCGGAAGGGGCAACUGGAAUUCCCAGUGUAGCGGUGAAAUGCGUAGAUAUUGGGAAGAACACCUGAGGCGAAGGCGGGUUGCUGGGCCGACACUGACGCUGAGGCGCGAAAGCCAGGGGAGCGAACGGGAUUAGAUACCCCGGUAGUCCUGGCCCUAAACGAUGGAUACUUGGUGUGUGGGGUUUUCUCAGUCCCCGCGUGCCGGAGCUAACGCGGUAAGUAUCCCGCCUGGGGAGUACGGUCGCAAGGCUGAA
RNAcentral lists this ribosomal RNA (375 nucleotides) under uncultured bacterium. RNAcentral's name for it is "bacterial SSU rRNA". It matches the Rfam family "Bacterial small subunit ribosomal RNA", at positions 527 to 898 of the family's 1533-position model. The record is from RNAcentral.